GAACAUAAGAGUUUGAUCCUGGCUCAGAUUGAACGCUGGCGGCAUGCUUUACACAUGCAAGUCGGACGGCAGCACGAGUACUUGUACUUGGUGGCGAGUGGCGAACGGGUGAGUAAUAUAUUGGAACUGUCUCUUAUACACAUCU
Molecule: ribosomal RNA, 145 nt
Filed under: Kingella kingae
Lineage: Bacteria; Pseudomonadati; Pseudomonadota; Betaproteobacteria; Neisseriales; Neisseriaceae
Description: partial 16S ribosomal RNA
Rfam family: Bacterial small subunit ribosomal RNA
Source: RNAcentral